This is a small nuclear RNA of Pongo abelii (Sumatran orangutan), 104 nucleotides long. The record is from Ensembl. Lineage: Eukaryota; Metazoa; Chordata; Mammalia; Primates; Hominidae.
GUGCUCGCUUCGGCAGCACAUAUACUGAAAACGAAACGAUACAGAGAUUAGGAUGGCUCCUGCGCAAGGAUGACACGUAUAUUUGUGAAGCGUUCCAUUAUUUU